AUGUGCAAGUUCAUCUUCUGAUCCACGCUUGACCAAAGAAGGUUGGAUCUCAGCUUUGUUUUAUCCUGUUACAGUGACAGAAUCCAGACAUCAAGAGCUUAAAUCUCUCAAGUUCCUGUGUUCUCCCCUUGGAAUGCUGUGCAGUCAGGCUGCCCUGCUGUGGGUGCUGCAGCUGGGGGCUGCAGGUGGGCCUGUGCCUGCUGUGCUUCUGUGUUAACCCCCAGCAAAGAGUGAUGCUCCUAUUGACAGCAAAACAGGUCCAGUGAUUGUUGAGGGAGGAUCAAAGCCCGGGGAGGACCCUUCAGCUGUUUGCUUUUCCUUUAUGCAGAAACUUUACCACGGCUGCCCUGAAAACCCCACCAAACACAACUAAGAAUCCCUCCUCAGAAAAGCAAACGACUUUCCACAGCCUAAAGUAAGGUGUUGGUUAUCUGCUGGCAUUUCUCUCCCUCUGCUGCAGCUGCCUUGGCAGAAGAAGAGCCUGGAGUGAUGGGGCUGCUGCAUGGUGCAGUGCUUCUGUCCCUGCAUUACUGUGAGGCGUUGGGCUGUGCAGGAAGGAGCCCCGUGCUGCUGCCUCCCCAGCCAGAAGUGCUCAGAGGUGCCUUGUAGGAGUGGAAUGAACUGAGCCCUGCUUUGUUUCGCUAAAGAGCUACAGAG
RNAcentral lists this long non-coding RNA (657 nucleotides) under Phasianus colchicus (ring-necked pheasant). RNAcentral's name for it is "lncRNA (ENSPCLG00000010272.1)". The record is from RNAcentral. Lineage: Eukaryota; Metazoa; Chordata; Aves; Galliformes; Phasianidae.